This 72-nucleotide transfer RNA is filed under the name Loxodonta africana (African savanna elephant). It matches the Rfam family "tRNA". Rfam says of the family: Transfer RNA (tRNA) molecules are approximately 80 nucleotides in length. Their secondary structure includes four short double-helical elements and three loops (D, anti-codon, and T loops). The record is from Rfam by way of RNAcentral. Lineage: Eukaryota; Metazoa; Chordata; Mammalia; Proboscidea; Elephantidae.
CUCUGGAUGGUGUAAACAGUUAACAUGUUUGGUCUCUAACCAAAAAGUUGGAGGUUCGAGUCUCCCUAGAGG